RNAcentral lists this ribosomal RNA (408 nucleotides) under uncultured bacterium. RNAcentral's name for it is "partial 16S ribosomal RNA". It matches the Rfam family "Bacterial small subunit ribosomal RNA", at positions 28 to 526 of the family's 1533-position model. The record is from RNAcentral.
GACGAACGCUGGCGGCGUGCUUAACACAUGCAAGUCGAACGUAGUGGCGAACGGGUGAGUAACCCGUGAGCAACCUACCUUACACAGGGGGAUAGCCGUUGGAAUCGUCGAUUAAUACCGCAUGGUGUAAGAUGGGCUCGGGUCUGAUUGGCUAGUUGGAAGGGUAAAGGCCGAUCAAGGCGACGAUCAGUAGCCGGUAUGGGAGGAUGAACGGCCACAAUUGAACUGAGACACGGUCCAAACUCCUACGCGAGGGAGCAGUGGGGAAUGUUGCACAAUGGGGUAAACGCUGAUGCAGCGACGCCGCGGGAGCGAAGAAGGUUUUCGAAUCGUAAAGCUCGGUACGAUGAGAAGCGGUAUCAGAGGAAGAAGCCCCGGCUAAAUACGUGCCAGCCGCCGCGGUAAUAC